AGCAGCCGCGGUAAUUCCAGCUCCAAUAGCGUAUAUUAAAGUUGUUGCAGUUAAAAAGCUCGUAGUUGAAUUUCGGGGUCAGUAGAUUGGUCGUGCCACUGGUAUGUACUGGUCUUACUGGCUCCUCCUUCCUGAUGAACCGUAAUGCCAUUAAUUUGGUGUUGCGGGGAGACUGGACUGUUACUUUGAAAAAUUAGAGUGUUUAAAGCAGGCUAACGCUUGAAUACAUUAGCAUGGAAUAAUGAAAUAGGACGUUCGAUCUUAUUUUGUUGGUUUCUAAGAUUGACGUAAUGAUUAAUAGGGAUAGUUGGGGGCAUUAGUAUUCAAUUGUCAGAGGUGAAAUUCUUGGAUUUAUUGAAGGCUAACUACUGCGAAAGCAUUUGCCAAGGAUGUUUUCAUUAAUCAAGAACGAAAGUUAGGGGAUCGAAGACGAUCAGAUACCGUCGUAGU
This 450-nucleotide ribosomal RNA is filed under the name uncultured Glomeromycotina. RNAcentral's name for it is "SSU rRNA". It matches the Rfam family "Eukaryotic small subunit ribosomal RNA", at positions 569 to 1024 of the family's 1831-position model. Lineage: Eukaryota; Fungi; Glomeromycota. The record is from RNAcentral.